This is a non-coding RNA of Triticum urartu, 419 nucleotides long. Lineage: Eukaryota; Viridiplantae; Streptophyta; Magnoliopsida; Poales; Poaceae. The record is from RefSeq and is a predicted model, not a curated record.
GUCGACAGCGGCGAGGCUUGUCCUUCUCCGUCAGUCUAGCAGGGUAACAUCCCAAGUAGGGCAAGAGGUUUUUCAUUCAAGGGUGGAUUAGUCGUAGAGGGCGAAGAUGUCUGACUUAUUUAGCGGGAUCCAAGCAGCUAUGGUUAUCAAUUGAGUAGAGAAUAGUGAGCAGUCACCUGAAGAUUGGAACAGCGACUGUGAUGGAUCCGGUGGUUCAACAGUCGGUCAUGUGCUUGCCCCCACUGCUAAGCACGAUUACAUAUCCAUAGACUUCUGGGCUGCACUGAGUGAUAUCAGCAAGAUAAAGGAUUGGAAUUGGGGAGGAUAUGUACUCAAGAAUCUGUUCCAAGCUGUUAAGAAGUUCAAGGCAGAUGUGUCCAAGAGAAACCCAACCGUCCACAUAGUUGGUUGUCAUCUGU